RNAcentral lists this ribosomal RNA (464 nucleotides) under Vreelandella stevensii. Its description in RNAcentral is "partial 16S ribosomal RNA". It matches the Rfam family "Bacterial small subunit ribosomal RNA", at positions 338 to 795 of the family's 1533-position model. Lineage: Bacteria; Pseudomonadati; Pseudomonadota; Gammaproteobacteria; Oceanospirillales; Halomonadaceae. The record is from RNAcentral.
CCUACGGGUGGCUGCAGUGGGGAAUAUUGGACAAUGUGCGAAAGCCUGAUCCAGCCAUGCCGCGUGUGUGAAGAAGGCCUUCGGGUUGUAAAGCACUUUCAGUGGGGAAGAAAGCCUUGGGGCUAAUACCCUCGAGGAAGGACAUCACCCACAGAAGAAGCACCGGCUAACUCCGUGCCAGCAGCCGCGGUAAUACGGAGGGUGCGAGCGUUAAUCGGAAUUACUGGGCGUAAAGCGCGCGUAGGCGGUCUGAUAAGCCGGUUGUGAAAGCCCCGGGCUCAACCUGGGAACGGCAUCCGGAACUGUCAGGCUAGAGUGCAGGAGAGGAAGGUAGAAUUCCCGGUGUAGCGGUGAAAUGCGUAGAGAUCGGGAGGAAUACCAGUGGCGAAGGCGGCCUUCUGGACUGACACUGACGCUGAGGUGCGAAAGCGUGGGUAGCAAACAGGAUUAGAUACCUGGUAGUC